Molecule: ribosomal RNA, 259 nt
Filed under: uncultured bacterium
Lineage: Bacteria
Description: partial 16S ribosomal RNA
Rfam family: Bacterial small subunit ribosomal RNA
Source: RNAcentral
CAAACCAAAAGACUGGGCGGACCGGCGCACGGGUGAGUAACACGUAUCCAACCUGCCUCAUACUCGGGGAUAGCCUUUCGAAAGAAAGAUUAAUAUCCGAUAGCAUAUAUUUCCCGCAUGGGUUUUAUAUUAAAGAAAUUCGGUAUGAGAUGGGGAUGCGUUCCAUUAGUUUGUUGGGGGGGUAACGGCCCACCAAGACUACGAUGGAUAGGGGUUCUGAGAGGAAGGUCCCCCACAUUGGAACUGAGACACGGUCCAA